RNAcentral lists this ribosomal RNA (750 nucleotides) under Triticum aestivum (bread wheat). Its description in RNAcentral is "partial small subunit ribosomal RNA". Lineage: Eukaryota; Viridiplantae; Streptophyta; Magnoliopsida; Poales; Poaceae. The record is from RNAcentral.
AUGAAGAUGGCGACUUGCAUUCGUAAGGUGGCCUCGGAGGAGUUUGGAGUGCCCAGGGGAAGGAGAAGCGAAGAUAAGGAUACCUGGUGGUGGAAUGAUGAUGUCCAGAAGGCGCUUAAAGAGAAGAAAGAUUGCUGCAGACGCCUAUACCUGGAUAGGAGUGCAGACAACAUAGAGAAGUACAAGAUGGCGAAGAAGGCCGCAAAGCGAGCUGUUGGUGAAGCAAGGGGUCGGGCAUAUGAGGACCUCUACCAAUGGUUAGGCACGAAGGAAGGUGAAAGGGACAUCUAUAAGAUGGCUAAGAGCCGGGAGAGGAAGACGAGGGAUAUUGGCCAAGUCAAAUGCAUCAAGGACGGAGCAGGCCAACUCUUGGUGAAGGACGAAGAGAUUAAGCAUAGAUGGCGGGAGUACUUCGACAAGCUGUUUAAUGGGGAGAAUGAGAGUUCUACCAUUGAACGGAAUGACUCCUUUGAUGAGACCAGCAUGCGUUUUGUGCGGCGCAUCCAGGAGUCUGAGGUGAAGGAGGCUUUAAAAAGGAUGAAAGGAGGCAAGGCGAUGGGCCCUGAUUGUAUCCCCAUUGAGGUGUGGAAAGGUCUCGGGGACAUAGCGAUAGUAUGGCUAACCAAGCUUUUCAACCUCAUUUUUCGGGCAAACAAGAUGCCAGAAGAAUGGAGACGGAGUAUAUUAGUACCAAUCUUCAAAAACAAGGGGGAUUUCAGAGUUGUACUAAUUACCGUGGAAUUAAGCUGA